GAGAAGCAUUGCCAUUUUAGGUUUCUAGUACCUGAAAACUGCAGUCCUGGAAGCUGGAAUCUUUUAAAUGGAAAGCAAGACAGAAAUGACAGUGGUACACAAUGAAAGAAUAACUUCUGGGACCAGGUAUUCAAGUCUCUUAGUUCUGGAUCAAGCAAGCAAAUUAAGGUAAAACCCAGAGGGACAAAUAUACUGCACAGAUCAGCUUGGAAAGCAUCCUUUUAUAGAAACAAAUGGGGAAGUAAAACAGUGCUUUAAAAGUGCAUUAAGUAUACUUUAUUCCUCAGCUCAGAGUUAAUUCAAGCAAUAAACUCACAGAUUUCACACAAGUUAAAGCUUCCUACAAAUCUCACAACUGAGUUCCCUACUGAACCUCAGGGGAAGCUUUUAUAAUGAUAACUCCCUUCCCCCCCUCCAAGAUGACCUGGAAAUGCUUAAAGAAUUGUGCUCCUAAGACUUUUUUUUAUUAUUGUUAUUACCUGUGUUUUUCUCUGAACCAGGUAUAUAAAAGAGAGGGGAUUUCCCCUUCCACCAAUUAAAACUCAAAUCUCACCUCUCCUUUCUUCCCCCACAACAAGAAGUUAACCCCUGCUGAGCUUUUUACCCCCAAGGCAUCUAUAAAGCCUCACAGGUGAGCUUGCUGCAGUAAAUAGAAUGAAUCAGCCCCAGAUCUUCUAACAGAUAAACACCAAUCUUUUAUUCUAGCCACCUGGCUUGGGACUUAUCAGACAAGAAAAUGGCUGUGGUUCGAGUUAGGUGGAUUUUCUUCUCUUUUGCAAUAUUCUUCCUUUUGUAUUUUCUUCCCUUUACCAAGCACUCUUGGGAGAAAAUGUGCUUUGGAACAUCUUCAAGCUGGGAAUUUUCUUUCUGAAAAGUCACAUUGUGAUGUUUUUUUUGCAGGAAGUUACCUUGUUUUCUGUAGUCUCUGUCUCUUACAGUCUUUCAGUUGUCUCAGAACUCUUAUUUCACCAAGUCCUUGAAAUAUGGGUGAGUUUGUCACACCUGGACAGAAGUAGUAUGAAAAUAUUUUCAUUAAACACACCAAAAGCAGAAGAAUCUUUCCACAGCAGUGAUUUUGCAUGAAGAACUGGAACAAUGAAGUCAGAACAGUGCAAAGAGUAAAGGUGGUCCCUCCACCCCUUUUUGUCAAUGUUUGCCCUUGUGCAUGCCACUCUCCAAGACCUUCCUGCCUUAGGACUCUUAAACUGAGAAUCUUGUCUUUUGGUUCAGGUACUUUUUUUUUUUUUUUCCGAAUUUGACAAUAAAUUAACAACAAAGGAUUGAGAGGAAUAUACU
Molecule: long non-coding RNA, 1296 nt
Filed under: Cyanistes caeruleus (blue tit)
Lineage: Eukaryota; Metazoa; Chordata; Aves; Passeriformes; Paridae
Description: lncRNA (ENSCCEG00000019286.1)
Source: RNAcentral